AGCCUAAAAGUUGCGUAGGUUAGAGAGCAGAGGUUGUCGUCUGUCGAACCAAAAAAAGAAAAAGAAAAGAAAAGAAAUCUAUCUUCCUGGCUGCAGCCUCCAGUGUUGGAUCUCAUCCACUCUCUCUCAAUCGGGUCAGGAUGGGGAUCGAAUUUCGUUACUACGGAAGAACUAUUGACCAACAAAGGAGGAUGAAAUUCAACAUGCUAUGACUCCUUGGCCACUAUGAAGGACUAACUCAAACCAUGAUUCCUAGUUCAUAGCUUUCCAGUUGGUGUGAUAAAAUUACCACCACUGGUUUUUCUGGACUUGUGCAGAAUUGCCAUUCACUAGAGACACUAAGAUGCAGGUUGACAGCAAGAGCAUCAUCCUGGGCAGCAGCAGUGUUUUCCUCAGCAGCAAUAGUAACGUUCCCACUUGUUUGACCUGCUCAAACAAGUGCACACAUUAACAGGACUAUUUUUCUUAAAUUAAAAAAUAAAUUGAUUUAUUGCAUGAGUAGGAUAUUUAAACCUUUUGCUUCAGCAAUGUGUCUUGUUAUUCCCUUUGAAUUACCUAUUAGUGAUAAUUUUAAUGGUUAGAGAUUCUUUAUAAUGGAUGUCAAUCUUAGAAUUUAA
Long non-coding RNA from Quercus lobata, 617 nucleotides. RefSeq lists it as uncharacterized. Lineage: Eukaryota; Viridiplantae; Streptophyta; Magnoliopsida; Fagales; Fagaceae. The record is from RefSeq and is a predicted model, not a curated record. The transcript has 4 exons.